Molecule: long non-coding RNA, 2740 nt
Organism: Panicum hallii
Lineage: Eukaryota; Viridiplantae; Streptophyta; Magnoliopsida; Poales; Poaceae
Exons: 4
Source: RefSeq, a predicted model, not a curated record
UAUUACAGCCAACCAUAUUUUUUACAGUCCUGGGGCUGCUUUUUUUCCCAUCCAGGGAGCGAUUACGUGGAGCGAUCCAUAUGCAGCUACCAAAACCGAUCCUACACAUAACAAAGAGCUGAGCGCGUGUUCACUUCCUCCCCCACUCUCUCUCUCCUCUCGCAUCCACCGGCCACUUCUCGCACCCAUCGCGCGUAUUUCUGGAUCCCGGCGGAGGAAGAUUAGCGGGAGUGAGCGUAAGUGCAGAUUAGCACCAGGUGAGCGAAUCCACACGCGCGCAGCAUGCUCAAAACCAUGUUCCCCAAGUUUUUUCGUCGAUUUGAUUUUGUUUUUCGCCUUUUUGUUUGGCUGAGGCCAUCGGCGUGCGCUUCUGGAAUCCGGUGAGGCAUCCGGGGGUGGGGGGAGGGGCGGGAAUCUUCGGACCAGAUUAAGACAGCAACAUCUCGCGGGCUUGAAAUCUGGUGGCGCAGGUUCAAAAUUAGGAGACAUCAAUAGCUUGUGUGACUUUUUCUAUGCUCUCUGGAAUCCAGUGGGGGGAAGUGCAGGUUCAGAAAUCAUGUGAGCGGUCCCUUUUUUUUUGCAUCGUGAUUGUUUUUUAUUUUUUUCCAGUGCCUAUGUGGGUUUUUUUCCUCAGAUUUCUGGUGUGUGAAGGUUUGUUUAUAGUGGAAGGAUUCCUGCUAGAGGAAAAAAGCGCACACAGGUAAGUCAAAUUGAUCCCCUCCCUCCUCCCCCCAAUCCAGUAUGGGUUCUGUGAUUUUUUAGUUAGAUAUGUGUUUUGGCUACAUUUUGGUAGUUGUUUGUUGGGGAUGGGGAGGGAGGUAGGGGAUAUCAGGCUUUUUGAUGGUAGUGCUGAUGAAAUAAAUUAUAGAUUGCACCGAUGAAUAGUUGUUGCUGUCUGAAUAAAUCAUAGUGCAUAAAUCAUAGAUUGCACUGAUGAAGUUUUUGCUGUCUGAAUUUGUUUGCACUCAUAAACUGUGUUUUUUUUGUUGUUUGUACAUUUUAGUAUAUGAAAGUUUUACUCCAUUAGGCAAUAAAAAUAACAGAAACUUUAGGAAAACAAAUAUGGUUCUGGAUUAUUAAAAUAAUAUACUUCAUUAGGCAUUAACAUGGUUCUGAUUAGGCAAUAAUAUGGAAAACUGAACUGAUUUUCUCCUAUACAGUAGCCAGCGAUUGCAGCUACAGUUGUUCUGUAUUUUCUCCCUGAAUUUCAGGGGCAAGUACACCUACAUGUGCAACUUGGUCUCUAUUUUCUUGUCUUCUCCUAUUGCAGCAGCUUUUGGUCGAUUAGCAGCUCACGCAGGUAAUCAGCAGGGACAAAUAGCUUGUCAGGUUUCUUCAGAGACACAUUGAGGUACUUAGGGUCUGUUCGUUUCCUGCUAUCUAAACUUUAGACCCAUCACAUCAAAGAGAAUCUUACUAUUUAGAAGUAUUAAAUAAAAUCUGUUUAUAAAACUUUUUGCACAGCUAGGUGCUAAUUCGCGAGACAAAUUUAAUGAGCCUAAUUAAUCCAUAAUUUGCCACAGUGAUGCUACAGUAAUUGUUCGCUAAUCAUGGACUAAUAUACCUCAUUAGAUUCGUCUUGCGAAUUAGCACUAGGGUUCUGCAAUUAGUUUUGUAAUUAGACUUUAUUUAAUACUUCUAAAUGAUAAGAUUCUGUUUGAUGUGACCCCUCUAAAGUUUAGGUACCCGGAAACGAACACACCCUUAACUGCAUGAACUAUUGUUUAUUCCCACAGUGAUCUGUCACUCGAGUUGUCUUACAUAGAAGUUAUCUGAUUUGUUUAACCCUAUGUGUUCUUUCUUCAGAGCUUGCCUCUUGUGAAUUGGCUAAUUAGUAAUUUGGUUAAACGGUGUAUUAUCAGCAGCUUGGUUUGCUCGUCUGGAUUAGCUCUAUUGUGCAGGCAGGUCAAUUCAGUAGCUGCAACUACAGCUCGAUCAACAGCUGCAAGUGGACAUAAGCAAAAUGCUCGGGUUUCACUCAGGUUCCCAAGUUAUCCUGCGGGGGAGAUCAACUACAAUGCAAGAAGAAGAUAUGAUGUGCAUAUGAACCAUCUCAAGUAAAUAAGUACAUAUGUAGUGAGAGCAAGUGCAUUUAUUGCAAUUUUUUGUCUAAAUAUGUACUUCAUUUGGAAAUAAUGUUGUUCUAGAUUAGACAAAUUAUGCAAUUAUUUUAGGCAAUAAUAUGGUUCUAAAUUAAGUAAUAUUAUGGCCAGAAAUUUAGGAAAUAAUGUGUUUCUGUAUUAACAAAAAUAUGAUCAUAAAUUAGGUUAUAUAGAACUAGCAAUGUUUGUUACUAGAGAUAUUCAGCCUUGCUGAUAUUUUAGUCCUAAUACUAACUGCACUUGCUAUUCGUUUCAGUCAUACAAAACAGUGUUUAGGACCUGAAACUUGAUGUGCUUUUUUUCUGCCUGCAAGUUUCCUCAUCGAAUUGGCUCCAUAACAUGCUCUUCAGCUUGGUGUUUGGUGGCCUGAAAGUUCAUCAGAUUGUCAUCAGCAACAGUUUAAUUGCAGCUCAACCUCGAUUUUGAUUCAUGAGCAGCUUGGUAGUAGUUGUAAUAGCUCUAGUCUUUUUGUUUGGUCAGUACAAUAGUGGAGGCAAUAAGUUGUAUGCUAGUAGUUUUGAAGUUUUGUUAAUGCUUAGAGUUUAGAUGGGUGAAAAUGUGUUUGUAUAUGUUCUAAUUUGUUUAUUGUUUUUCAAAGAUUUGCUUAUCAAAGAGUAAAAAUGAGGUCUGUAUAUUUA